This is a long non-coding RNA of Pogoniulus pusillus (Red-fronted tinkerbird), 1379 nucleotides long. RefSeq lists it as uncharacterized. NCBI's taxonomy places the organism in Eukaryota, Metazoa, Chordata, Aves, Piciformes, Lybiidae. The record is from RefSeq and is a predicted model, not a curated record. The transcript has 11 exons.
UUCCAGAUAGCUUGUAACUGGGGUGAUAUGAGUACAACUGAUUAAUCUAAUGAAGUCUAAGACCUGCAUGCAGUUACCCUGACCUUUAAUACGUCUUGUGGGUUCUUCUACAACACUUCCUUCUACUCUGUCAGGACUAAAGCUGGUAUGCACAUUUGGCUUGAGUGUCUGCCAGCUCAGUCAACUGCCAACCUUGUGAAGUCUUGCAGCAUGGAGAUUUUGCAUGGACUCCCUUAAUAAAGUCUUUCUAAAUUCCAUACACAACUCUUCUGCUGGUAUCCUGAGCGUGAUGGUGACCUAUUUGAGAUAGUGCUUUUGAAAACAGUUUUGUCCAGAAUACUUCACAGAAAUAAAACAACUUUUAAAAGCAGACACUUCUGGGAAUGAAGACAGGAGUCAGUGUAAUGACAAAAAUCCUACACUGCAGCAAAGAGCAAACCAUCACUGUUAAUAAAGGUGCCACUAGGUGCUUCUGUUAGGAAGAAUCAUGCUCCAAAUCACACACUACAGUGCAUCAGCCAGAGCUUUAUUGAUGAUCAGGAGAUUCAUGCAAAUCCAGGUUUAGACAGACGAAUAAUUCCUCGUGCAGAAUGUCAGAGAAACAGAACAUCUCUGGACAGUUCCUUCACAGCUAAAACACAGCCUGUACAGAGGAAGAGAAACUUCCCUCAUGUUGCUGGAGUCUGUUACUCAUUUCAUCCAGUCCAUCCUUGGCUAGAGGCAGAGUGACCACCCCUGGCUCUUCUAUGACAGUGCCAAGAUGAUUGGAGAGAAUUUGAGUAUCUGAGAUGACAAGGCACAGCUGGGAUGAGAAAGUAGUGAACCAGUUUUCAGGACUGAGUCGUAACGGUUAGAUACAUACCUGCCAACCUCCAUUACACUGGCACCCAGUGAGGAUAAUGGUGCAAAAGAAGCAGAGAGUUUCCAUUGCUAUUCCUAUGAAGAACUUCCAGCUGAUGCCUGGCUGUAACACAGGGAGAGGGGCUGGAGGGCCAGGAGAAAGCCUUGCUGUUCGUUUUUGUGACCACCGGGUGUCAUUCAAGGAGCAGACUUUGGCCAACCUGCGAGCACUACUAUGGCAGCAGCACUGCCAUAAGUUGCAGCGUAUCCAAGUAAAAAAAGUCAGUAUUUGGACCUCUGAAGCCAAGUUGUAGAUUUGCUAUGACUUACUCUACCUUUUCUGCUUUCAAGAUAAAUGCUGAAACCUGGACCUGGGUACACACUUUGAAAAAUACUUGGAUAAUAAGAUUCAUAGUGGAUUGUUUGGUUUUCACAUUUAAGAAAUUAUCCAGGCCAGUAGCUGCUGCAGCGCCCAGCCCACUCUGCCCUGAUGGAUCAGAAUGCAGAGCUCCUGAACUUCACGAAUUCAAGCACACUGU